UGUUAUCUUAUUUCACUCAUGGGGUAGAGAAUAUGGGAUCAGAUGAAAAACUGAAGGUGGUGUUCCAUUCUUUGUCUCUACAACAAUACAAUCUUACAUUCAAUACAUUCAUUCAUCAGCAAACAAAUUCCCACAAAACAAAAUUUCUUGCCGGUGCUUGGCACACGGUUGGAGGCAUGGGGAGGGGAUCUCACCAGAUGAUGAGUUCCUGCCGGAGGAGGGGAUACGAUGAGGGGAGCAAGGGUUAGGCGACUCUAUCUGGCCAUAAGGAGUCGCCGUUGCCG
Molecule: long non-coding RNA, 284 nt
Filed under: Hordeum vulgare
Lineage: Eukaryota; Viridiplantae; Streptophyta; Magnoliopsida; Poales; Poaceae
Description: long non-coding RNA (HVUL_LNC005500)
Source: RNAcentral